RNAcentral lists this ribosomal RNA (230 nucleotides) under uncultured bacterium. RNAcentral's name for it is "partial 16S ribosomal RNA". It matches the Rfam family "Bacterial small subunit ribosomal RNA", at positions 524 to 753 of the family's 1533-position model. The record is from RNAcentral.
GACAGAGGAUGCAAGCGUUAUCCGGAAUGAUUGGGCGUAAAGCGUCUGUAGGUGGCUUUUUAAGUCCGCCGUCAAAUCCCAGGGCUCAACCCUGGACAGGCGGUGGAAACUACCAAGCUGGAGUACGGUAGGGGCAGAGGGAAUUUCCGGUGGAGCGGUGAAAUGCGUAGAGAUGUGGAGGAACACCGAUGGCGAAGGCAGCCCCCUGGGUCAAGAUUGACGCUCAUGCA